CACGCUGUAAACGAUGAAUACUAGGUAUCGGGGCAACUCGGUGCCGCAGUUAACACGAUAAGUAUUCCGCCUGUGGAGUAUGCACGCAAGUGUGAAACAUAAAGGAAUUGACGGGGGCCCGCACAAGCGGUGGAGUAUGUGGUUUAAUUCGACGCAACGCGAAGAACCUUACCUGGACUUGACAUACCCUGAAUAUCUUAGAGAUAAGAGAAGCCCUUCGGGGCAGGGAUACAGGUGG
Molecule: ribosomal RNA, 238 nt
Filed under: uncultured bacterium
Lineage: Bacteria
Description: partial 16S ribosomal RNA
Rfam family: Bacterial small subunit ribosomal RNA
Source: RNAcentral